This 76-nucleotide transfer RNA is filed under the name Sulfobacillus harzensis. RNAcentral describes it as "Sulfobacillus sp. DSM 109850 tRNA-Trp". It matches the Rfam family "tRNA". From Rfam's summary of the family: Transfer RNA (tRNA) molecules are approximately 80 nucleotides in length. Their secondary structure includes four short double-helical elements and three loops (D, anti-codon, and T loops). Further hydrogen bonds mediate the characteristic L-shaped molecular structure. tRNAs have two regions of fundamental functional importance: the anti-codon, which is responsible for specific mRNA codon recognition, and the 3' end, to which the tRNAs corresponding amino acid is attached (by aminoacyl-tRNA synthetases). tRNAs cope with the degeneracy of the genetic code in two manners: having more than one tRNA (with a specific anti-codon) for a particular amino acid; and 'wobble' base-pairing, i.e. permitting non-standard base-pairing at the 3rd anti-codon position. Lineage: Bacteria; Bacillati; Bacillota; Clostridia; Eubacteriales; Clostridiales Family XVII. Incertae Sedis. The record is from RNAcentral.
AUGCGCGUCUUCUAACUGGAAAAGAUGACGGUCUCCAAAACCGUUGAUGGGGGUUCGAGUCCCUUCGCGCAUGCCA